UACGGGGGGGGCAAGCGUUGUUCGGAAUUACUGGGCGUAAAGGCGCGUAGGCGCCUGCUAAGUCGGAUGUGAAAUCCCUCGGCUCAACCGAGGAACUGCAUCCGAUACUGGCGGGCUUGAAUCCGGGAGAGGGAUGUGGAGUUCCAGGUGUAGCGGUGAAAUGCGUAGAUAUCUGGAGGAACACCGGUGGCGAAGGCGGCAUCCUGGACCGGUAUUGACGCUGAGGCGCGAAAGCUAGGGGAGCAAACGGG
This 251-nucleotide ribosomal RNA is filed under the name uncultured bacterium. Its description in RNAcentral is "partial 16S ribosomal RNA". It matches the Rfam family "Bacterial small subunit ribosomal RNA", at positions 524 to 776 of the family's 1533-position model. The record is from RNAcentral.